UAUAAGCUUCUAUACGGCGAAACUGCGAAUGGCUCAUUAAAACAGUUAUAGUUUAUUUGGUGGUCAGCAAUUACAUGGAUAACCGUGGUAAUUCUAGAGCUAAUACAUGCGCCCAAACCCGACUUCGUGGAAGGGUUGUGUUUAUUAGAUACAGAACCAACCCAGGCUCCGCCUGGCCUUGAGGUGAUUCAUAAUAACCGAACGAAUCGCAUGGCUAUGCCGGCGAUAGACCAUUCAAGUUUCUGACCUAUCAGCUAUCGUCGGUAGGGUAUUGGCCUACCGUGGCAAUGACGGGUAACGGAGAAUUAGGGUUCGAUUCCGGAGAGGGAGCCUGAGAAACGGCUACCACAUCUAAGGAAGGCAGCAGGCGCGCAAAUUACCCAAUCCUGACGCAGGGAGGUAGUGACAAGAAAUAACAAUACAGGGCAUACAUGUCUUGUAAUUGGAAUGAGUAAACUUUAAAUCACUUUACGAGUAUCAAUUGGAGGGCAAGUCUGGUGCCAGCAGCCGCGGUAAUUCCAGCUCCAAUAGCGUAUAUUAAAGUUGUUGCGGUUAAAAAGCUCGUAGUUGGAUUUCUGCUGAGGACGACCGGUCCGCCCUCCGGGUGAGCAUCUGGUUCGGCCUUGGCAUCUUCUUGGUGAACGUAUCUGCACUUGACUGUGUGGUGCGGUACCCAGGACUUUUACUUUGAGGAAAUUAGAGUGUUUCAAGCAGGCAUACGCCUUGAAUACAUUAGCAUGGAAUAAUAAGAUAGGACCUCGGUUCUAUUUUGUUGGUUUCUAGAGCUGAGGUAAUGAUU
RNAcentral lists this ribosomal RNA (799 nucleotides) under uncultured marine eukaryote. Its description in RNAcentral is "SSU rRNA". It matches the Rfam family "Eukaryotic small subunit ribosomal RNA", at positions 64 to 870 of the family's 1831-position model. The record is from RNAcentral.